RNAcentral lists this transfer-messenger RNA (347 nucleotides) under Lachnospiraceae. RNAcentral describes it as "Choladousia intestinavium Standard tmRNA". It matches the Rfam family "transfer-messenger RNA". From Rfam's summary of the family: Bacterial tmRNA, also known as 10Sa RNA or SsrA, is named for its dual tRNA and mRNA-like properties. Its role is to liberate the mRNA from a stalled ribosome. Lineage: Bacteria; Bacillati; Bacillota; Clostridia; Lachnospirales. RNAcentral also lists the same sequence under 1 other name. The record is from RNAcentral.
GGGGUAGUAAAGGUUUCGACGGGGGUUAUGAAGCUGGAGAAGCUAUCCGCAGGCUGAUGCGUCAAAUCGCAAACCUAAAUAUAAACGCUGACGACAAUCGUUUAGCAUACGCUGCCUAAUCUGGCAGUUGUCUGGCCCGGCGGACCUGCACGCCGGAACCCAGGCAUCGACCUUAGCAGGAAACGACAUAUGUUAAGCUUUGCGCAUAUGGGCGUAGGAUGAAGCUACCAAAUGGAGCAGGCCGUCCGCUGCCGGUUCCAGGAGGGAAUGACAAAGAGCUGACUAUGAUAGUAGAAGGACAGUGAAUUGGCUUUCGGACACGAGUUCGAUUCUCGUCUACUCCAUGA